UACGGAGGGUGCGAGCGUUAAUCGGAAUUACUGGGCGUAAAGGGUGCGUAGGUGGUUGACUAAGUUAUCUGUGAAAUUCCUGGGCUUAACCUGGGCAGGUCAGAUGAUACUGGUUGACUCGAGUAUGGGAGAGGGUAGUGGAAUUUCCGGUGUAGCGGUGAAAUGCGUAGAGAUCGGAAGGAACACCAGUGGCGAAGGCGGCUACCUGGCCUAAUACUGACACUGAGGCACGAAAGCGUGGGGAGCAAACAG
This 252-nucleotide ribosomal RNA is filed under the name uncultured bacterium. Its description in RNAcentral is "partial 16S ribosomal RNA". It matches the Rfam family "Bacterial small subunit ribosomal RNA", at positions 524 to 775 of the family's 1533-position model. The record is from RNAcentral.